RNAcentral lists this ribosomal RNA (765 nucleotides) under Triticum aestivum (bread wheat). Its description in RNAcentral is "partial small subunit ribosomal RNA". Lineage: Eukaryota; Viridiplantae; Streptophyta; Magnoliopsida; Poales; Poaceae. The record is from RNAcentral.
AUGCGGUAUCUUGGUCUUCCGCUGUCGGUCACAAGACUAAAGCGUAUCCACUUUCAGUAUUUGGAGGACAAGGUGGCUGGAAAGCUUCCACCUUGGUCGGCUAUGCAUGUGGCUACGCCCGGGCGCAUUGUUUUGGUCAAGGCUGUGCUCACUGCCAUUGCCAUUUACCACCUAACGCCUCUUGACCUUCCGGUUGAAGUGAUGAAGAAGAUCGAUAGCCUCCGGCGUGCCUACCUUUGGGCGGGUUGUGAUAAGGUGACCGGCGGAAAGUGCAAGGUUAAUUGGGACCUCGUCUGCAAGCCCAAGAUUUAUGGUGGACUAGGAGUGCUCAACCUCCAGAAGUUUGCGACUGUGCUACGCUUGCGUUGGCUCUGGCACGAAUGGGAUGAUCCACCUAGGACUUGGUCUGGCUCUGGAACACCUUUUACUAGCAACGACAAAGAUCUCUUCGUCGCUGCCACACGGGUGUGCAUCGAAGAUGGAAACAAAGCUAAGUUCUGGGAAUCUCCAUGGAUGUACGGCCUCCGGCCUAAAGACAUUGCACCAAAGAUUUUUGAGUUGUCAAAAAAGAAAAUGUGCCUGGUCAGGAAAGCUCUUGACAAUAACCUUUGGAUCCGCCAUAUUGGCACUCAGCAGGGGCUAACCUUGGCCCAUAUUCAGGAAUUUGCAACCCUGUGGGGGAUGCUUGCUGAUAUAACCCUCAACCAGGGAAGCCAAGACACCAUAACUUGUGAAAGAUCGUGGAUGUCGCCUAGAGGGGGGUGA